GAUGAACGCUGGCGGCGUGCCUAAUACAUGCAAGUCGAGCGAACAGAUAAGGAGCUUGCUCCUUUGACGUUAGCGGCGGACGGGUGAGUAACACGUGGGUAACCUACCUAUAAGACUGGGAUAACCUCGGGAAACCGGAGCUAAUACCGGAUAAUAUUUCGAACCGCAUGGUUCGAUAGUGGAAGAUGGUUUUGCUAUCACUUAUAGAUGGACCCGCGCCGUAUUAGCUAGUUGGUAAGGUAACGGCUUACCAAGGCGACGAUACGUAGCCGACCUGAGAGGGUGAUCGGCCACACUGGAACUGAGACACGGUCCAGACUCCUACGGGAGGCAGCAGUAGGGAAUCUUCCGCAAUGGGCGAAAGCCUGACGGAGCAACGCCGCGUGAGUGAUGAAGGUCUUCGGAUCGUAAAACUCUGUUGUUAGGGAAGAACAUACGUGUAAGUAACUGUGCACGUCUUGACGGUACCUAAUCAGAAAGCCACGGCUAACUACGUG
This 497-nucleotide ribosomal RNA is filed under the name uncultured bacterium. Its description in RNAcentral is "partial 16S ribosomal RNA". It matches the Rfam family "Bacterial small subunit ribosomal RNA", at positions 28 to 507 of the family's 1533-position model. The record is from RNAcentral.